RNAcentral lists this ribosomal RNA (301 nucleotides) under uncultured bacterium. Its description in RNAcentral is "partial 16S ribosomal RNA". It matches the Rfam family "Bacterial small subunit ribosomal RNA", at positions 509 to 807 of the family's 1533-position model. The record is from RNAcentral.
CAGUAGCCGCGGGAAUACGAAGGGUGCAAGCGUUAAUCGGAAUUACUGGGCGUAAAGCGUGCGUAGGCGGUUUGUUAAGUCUGUUGUGAAAUCCCCGGGCUCAACCUGGGAAUGGCAAUGGAUACUGGCAAGCUAGAGUGUGUCAGAGGAUGGUGGAAUUCCCGGUGUAGCGGUGAAAUGCGUAGAUAUCGAGAGGAACACCGGUGGCGAAGGCGGCCAACUGGGACAACACUGACGCUGAGGCACGAAAGCGUGGGGAGCAAACAGGAUUAGAGACCCCCGUAGUCCCUGUCUCUUAUAC